CUAGUAACGGCGAGUGAAGAGGGAAGAGCCCAAGAUUGAAAGCUGGCGUCUUCGGCGUCCGCAUUGUAAUCUCAAGAAGUGUUUUCCGCUACGGACCAAGCCUAAGUCUCCUGGAAAGGAGCAUCAUAGAGGGUGAUAAUCCCGUACAUGGCUUGGAGCGCCCGCAGCUUUGUGAUACAUUUUCUAAGAGUCGAGUUGUUUGGGAAUGCAGCUCAAAAUGGGUGGUAAAUGCCAUCUAAGGCUAAAUAUUGGGGAGAGACCGAUAGCGAACAAGUACAGUGAUGGAAAGAUGAAAAGAACUUUGAAAAGAGAGUUAAACAGUACGUGAAAUUGCCAAAAGGGAAGGGUAGGAGGUCAGAGAUGCUUUUGGGGAUUCAGCCUUGCUUUUGCAUGGUGUUUUUCCCCUCGGGCAGGCCAACGUCGGUUUUGGGCACUGGAGAAGGGUGGAAGGAAUGUGGCAUCCCUCGGGAUGUGUUAU
This 478-nucleotide ribosomal RNA is filed under the name Langdonia inopinata. Its description in RNAcentral is "LSU rRNA". It matches the Rfam family "Eukaryotic large subunit ribosomal RNA", at positions 80 to 559 of the family's 3401-position model. Lineage: Eukaryota; Fungi; Basidiomycota; Ustilaginomycetes; Ustilaginales; Ustilaginaceae. The record is from RNAcentral.